Molecule: ribosomal RNA, 429 nt
Filed under: Bacteroidota bacterium
Lineage: Bacteria; Pseudomonadati; Bacteroidota
Description: Bacteroidetes bacterium partial 16S ribosomal RNA
Rfam family: Bacterial small subunit ribosomal RNA
Source: RNAcentral
UAGGGAAUCUUCCGCAAUGGACGCAAGUCUGACGGAGCAACGCCGCGUGAGUGAAGAAGGAUUUCGGUUCGUAAAACUCUGUUGUUAGAGAAGAACAGCGCAUAGAGUAACUGUUAUGCGUGUGACGGUAUCUAACCAGAAAGCCCCGGCUAACUACGUGCCAGCAUCCGCGGUAAUACGUAGGUGGCAAGCGUUGUCCGGGUUUAUUGGGCGUAAAGCGAGCGCAGGCGGUCAAUUAAGUCUGAUGUGAAAGCCCCCGGCUCAACCGGGGAGGGUCAUUGGAAACUGGUUGAAUUGAGUGCAGAAGAGGAGAGUGGAAUUCCAUGUGUAGCGGUGAAAUGCGUAGAUAUAUGGAGGAACACCAGUGGAGAAGGCGACUCUCUGGUAUGUAACUGACGCAGAGGCUCGAAAGCGUGGGUAGCAAACAGG